Molecule: ribosomal RNA, 253 nt
Filed under: uncultured bacterium
Lineage: Bacteria
Description: partial 16S ribosomal RNA
Rfam family: Bacterial small subunit ribosomal RNA
Source: RNAcentral
UACGAAGGGGGCUAGCGUUGGUCGGAAUCACUGGGCGUAAAGGGUGCGUAGGCGGGUCUUUAAGUCAGGGGUGAAAUCCUGGAGCUCAACUCCAGAACUGCCUUUGAUACUGAGGAUCUUGAGUUCGGGAGAGGUGAGUGGAACUGCGAGUGUAGAGGUGAAAUUCGUAGAUAUUCGCAAGAACACCAGUGGCGAAGGCGGCUCACUGGCCCGAUACUGACGCUGAGGCACGAAAGCGUGGGGAGCAAACAGG